Long non-coding RNA from Lynx canadensis (Canada lynx), 6902 nucleotides. RefSeq lists it as uncharacterized. The transcript has 5 exons. NCBI's taxonomy places the organism in Eukaryota, Metazoa, Chordata, Mammalia, Carnivora, Felidae. The record is from RefSeq and is a predicted model, not a curated record.
GCCGUGAGAUCGUGACCUGAGCCGAAGUCGGACGCUGAACCGACAGAGCCACCCGGGCGCCCCAAGACAACAGUAUUAACAGUAUGCACUCUCUUGGGUCACUUGCCAGCUGCCACGUGUGAAGGCAGUCAAACCGUCCUACGGGGAGGCCUGUGUGGGGAGGACAUGAGACACCCAGCCAAUGGCCAGCACUAAUUUGCCAGCCAUGUGAAUAAGCCACCUUGGAAGUGGAUCCUCCAGUCUUUGGAUGGCAGCUGUUCGACAAGGUGACUUUCAUGACCCACCCUAGACAGGUCCGCCAUUUCCUCCACCAUUUCCUCAAUGGCCUGUCGGUCGCAGUCAGCCCGAUUCAAUGCGGAAGGAACUUUGUGAGCCGAUGAAUGCCAGGGGACUGGAGUCACUGGGGCCCCUCUUGGAGUGGGAUACUUGCUUUUUCUAGAAAACGAUGGUUGCUGACAUUUGCCCUGUCGUUGCUAGGUUAUAGACGCUGUUGACAGUGCUUUAUGUGUAUCAGCCCAUUGAAUCUUCCCAACAACCCCUGUACGAUUAUCCUGGUUUUAUAAACGAGGAAACCGAGGCACUAAGAGUUUAAUAAAUGUCAUUUGCUCCGGGUGCAGAAAACCCGGGAUCAAAACUCAGGCCGUCUGGCUUCAGAAGCCACGCUCGGAAGCACUCUGUUAUCUCACUCCCUGGUCGUACUAAAUUCUGCCCCUAAGACUUGGUGUACCAUUGUCCCGUGGGAGUGGAAAUGGAAAUAUCAAGGAUGGGAGGGAGCUGGAGAAAGGGGGGCCGCUUGUUUGCCACGGUGCUAAGAACAGCAGGUCAAGAAUCUGGAAGCCCCUGCUUUGCUGGAAAGACUGUGAUCUAUACCAUGACCCUCUCUGUACCCAGUGCCGGUGGCAGCCGGCUCCUUGUUUCUCAUCACCGCACAGAAACGACCCAGGAUGCCUUCUGAUGCUGUGUAUAUACAGCGACCAAGCUACCUGGGCAUCUUCACACCUCCUUGGAAAAGAAUACAGGAGAUGAUUUAACAUGUGGCUCACAGCUGACUCUUGUAGGGGCUCAGAGAAGCGACGAGAAGACAAAUACCACCUGGGCACUUUUGCACCAUUCCGUGUGGCUCAAGGAUGGAGCCCCCCCCCCCCCGCCCCUUCAUUUAGGGAAGGCCUCCCUUUCCAACAGGAAGCAGGGGGAGGGGCACCGGGAUUAUAUGUUCAGGGAUCGAGACGGUGUGUAUGAGCUGGUGGGAUCCGGUAAACCGUUGAGUCUGGUCACGGGGACCCCACUCUGCCUCCCAGAAGUCCUUGGCGUGUGUAGUCCAAUCAAGUGGUAAUAACAGGAAACACAUACGGAGCCUUGAACUCUCGUAAGUGUAAUAUGUAGCAAUCUUUUGAGGUGGGCGUGCUACCCUUCCCAUUUUGCAGAUAAGGAAAGUGAGGCACAGCGAGACUAAGUAACCUGCCCAGAUCUAUGCAGGGGUGAGUGGCAGGGCCAGGACUGUGGAUACAGGCAGUCUGGCUCCAGAGCCCAGAUUCAUAACUACCAUUCUCCACUGAUUUUCCAAGCAGGGGGAUCCUUGAGGCCAUCGGGCCCGACCUUUCCGUCAGUCACUCAUUCCUGAGCCAGUUUUAGGACCUUUGCGAUAUCUGUGUCCCACCUCUAAUGCCACUAACGAAACUUUUUCAUUCUCGUAAUUCACUCCGUCUACUUGAAUACGUUUGUCUGAAAUGAAACCUUGAUAUUCGCACGAGGGGUGAAAACUCAGCAUCGUUUGCCAUAAAAAUAGAGAGGAAAUGUACAAAUAGGUCCCGCGAAAGCAGUGUGACUAACUUUGAGCUGAGUUCUGCCCUCCCCCGAGUCCCAGAGCCCCCGGUGCCUGAGUUGAGGGAUGAAAAGAGGAGAGGAAGAGGUGUCACCUUUACGGGACCUGCCCCCGGAGUACGCCGUGUGCCCUCAGGGUUUAGACGGAGGCCCAGGGAACUGCCGCACCCGCGACCAGCAGGACCCCUGACUCCUGAGCACAGGGCCCUCCGCGCUCAUUAGGCACAUUUUCACACGCGCUGCCCCCGCCAGGUUAAUUCCCGAGUUAAUUCGUGUAACAUACCUGUUGAUGGUGGCUCCGUCUCCUGCCCUCGCCCUCCAGUUCUCACGUUCCUGAAGCAAUUCCUAACCUCCACCGGCCCCCGCUGUCAUCGGCCACACCGGAGGUAGCCCCCGGCCGCGUGGGAACUUGGAUUCAGGGCCCCUAGAUCUAGGGGUUUGCUGUCACUGUGGAGGCUCAUUUAACUUCUUUCCAUCUGCUGGCGCCAUCUCCAAGUGGAGGCUAACAGCACUUUCUCUAAGGACCUCAAAGGGCUGUUGUCAGGACGCAAGGGAGGUCAAGGAUUUGGAAACGCACUGGUAGAAAACACGGCUCCGAAUGUGCGAGUGUUCACGCCAACCCUCACUUAUCCGGCAUCCGCAAGCGAUGAGAACCCUGAAGGAGGGGAGAGGCAUUUGCACACAAAAGAGAGAACUCACAGCCGGCUCCUGCUGCACGAUGGGCCAGGUGCUAGCGAGUAUUAACGAAUUCGGACGUGACACCACGUGGCCCCGACGUGAAGAGAGUCGUGGUGUAAAAGGCAGGUAACACACAGUUACGUGUGUGAUGGGAUUCCUCGUGGUGCAGACCCUCAGCCUUCUGGAGACCCGAGUCCCGCAGGUUGGGUGAUCUGUUUCCCCCAAUCACAUGACUUCAGAGCUAACAGAUGAGAAAUGGGCAGGGCUCUUUCUGGGGCAAGGCAAACUUCCUUGAUGAAGAAGAGGGGCUGACUUGGAGGGAAGGGGUAAGAGAAUGAAGCAAUUUGUGCUUUGAAGUCUGAGGUCACUAUCUAUCUAUCAUCUAUGUAUCUAUCAUCGUCAUCUAUCUAUUAUCUAUCAUCCAUCUAUCAUCAUCUAUUAUCUAUCAUCUAUCAUUUAUCGACCCGACUUAUCACUUUAUCUAUCAUCUUUCUCCCUGUCACCUAUCACCCAUCUAUCUUUCAUUUAUUACAUUUUUUGUUCGACCCCCAUCUCUGGAAUAAAACUUCCACAAGUGCAAGGGUGUUUUUUUUUUUUUUUUCUCCCCAGACAGAGUAUGUGGCCUGAGCACGCAUUUAGGCACCUCGUACAUGUCUGUUGGUUAACCUCCAACUCUGGGUUAUCAAGGAAAGGUCAAGUUGUAGUUCAUAGAUUUUGAAAAUAGAGCCCUUGAUUUGUGCUUUUACCCUCAUCCCCUGAGACCUUAUAAGGUGUCGGCAGGUACAUAAUUUCUGGUCCUGGAGAGCAGGGCCCCACCCACUGACCUUUAUAUCCCGCAGCAAGCCCGGGGCGGACACCCAGAAGCCACAGCCCUUCUCCACCUGGCCUCCUCUCGUGGACUUCCCUUGAGGGACUUCCCAUGGAAGAACUUCUACAGAGAAACAGGUUUUCUUUAUUUCUAUUUUUUUGCCAUUUGCCCAAUUUUCUUCAUAAUUUCCGUAUUUCUUACUACUCUUUCAAAGUCAUUUAGAGGAUAGGUAACCAGGAUCCCUGUGAUAGGACCGACGUCAAGAGCAAGGACAAGACAGUGACUAUUGCAAUUUACUUGUCCACACUCCUCCACUUAAAAAAAAAAAAAAAAAAAACUAUAACGGCAAAAGUUUCAAAUUAGCAACCCCCAAAUGCCUUGCUUAACGUGAGUACUUUUUAGGACUACCGUUGCCAUAGCAACCUGAAGCCUCUCUUGAUGGUCACUGUACCGGAUUCUAUUGAAGCUAAAAAUUACCUUAGCCUCGUGUAUAUGCUUGGCCAGCACAGUAAAGACUGGGUUCCAGAAAAUUAAAACUUUUUUUAACCGGUUUGAAAUUACUUCUACUGGAGCAAAAGAAACCUCUCAAAUCUAAGUGUUCUUCUUCUUCUUCUUCUUCUUCUUUUAAAGGCAUAAUUUGUUGGACAUUAAAAUAACAAAAGGGCUUUGAGAAAGGAUUAUGUGUUUCUGAUGUUUCACCACUAGAAUAGAUUUACCUUAUAUCUGACUGAUGUAAUCUUGCGUUCUGAGGUAAUGUUUUAGCUCUUUUUCUUCCCAUCAAUAAAGAUCUCAACGAUAGCACUUCGUUCUUUCUCUAGAACAUUCCUUCAGAUUUUUUUGCUCUCCAUCUUGUAAACCAUUUCAACCAGGAUGGCGUACAAAUUGGAUGCAGGACUUCUGUCGGGGCAGGGAACUCAUUACCAAGGGUUUUUAUUGCUACAAGCUUAAAAUGGAAAAUGUUUCAAGUCUGGAGAGUUCCAGUGGAGAUGUCCCGCAUCAGCUGCUUUCCCUAGCUACGAGGAGAAGAGGAGAAGAAAUUCAGUUCAGAGUUCUCUUCUUAACCCAGAAGGCGCCUGGCCCUGGGAUCUCACUGAGCUCGGGGCCUGCAGAAGAAUAGCCACUGGGGUAAUUCUGAUUUCAGAAAGAAAGCGCCUGUUUACAGCCCUGGCCUCCCUGGUAAUCACGUGAGCCUCCUUUCCCCCCUUGCAACCUCGGCCGACUGGCCUACGACUCUCCAGGGCAAAAUCUCUUUAAAAAUUCACAGAUAUAUCCCUCUCCAUGCAAAUCGACUGCAGAAACUACCCGGGCUUUGAAUAUCUUUUGAAACGGAAACAACUGUAUGUAAAUAAAGGGCUGUUAUUUACCAACAAGAGGACAAAAGCCCCGGGCACCCCCUUCAGCUCAGGGCCCCCGCAGGACUUCUCUCCCCAGCAACUUCAUACUUAUUAGCUUGAUUGCCAGCUUCGGUUUAUUAUUCACAAACUCACCCUGAGCCCUGCCUUUGAAUGCGUAGAAAAAAUGGUGUUUAUGUUCCAGAAUUUUUGCUUUAUUCUCAUGACUGAAGUAAACGAUGAAGUAUUUUCUGCCUCAGCAGAGCCAGCAGGGAAGAAACACACGUUGUAAUUAUCUUAAAUAAGCAGGCAGGGGACUUGGCUUCUGGAGCCUUGCGGUAGGGGCCCCGGGAAAAAGUGGGGGACAGUGGGGUGUCCUGCCAUCUACACUCAGCCUUCCUCGCAUCUGCUCGCUUGGGACUAAAGAAAGGAACCGUCCCCCUUGCAAAGACGGCUUGUGUGUAAUUUAGUGACAGAAAUGUGCUCUCCGGCCAAUAAAACACAUACUGGGGUGUUUUUUUUGAAAGAUGAAAAUUGACGAACAUGUUUAAACGUUUUAAAGGAAAAUCAUCGUAUUCGGGCAACAGAAAAUGACAGGAGCAAACCUUAACUUUACUCAAAAAAAAAAAAAAUUCCAUUAAAAAGUCAUCACUUACAAUAGCUUCUUAGGAAUCUGAAACCAAUACCUUCAGAUCAAGAUUCUGAUCAGGACAAACCAAUCGGGCGAUUAUCGGAGUACGGAUAGCAUUCGACGCUGGGCCUCAACAAUAAUCUCAAACUCUGGUUCUCCCGACUUCCUGCAGGCUUCAUGGAAAUGAGAAUGUUAGCGGGACCCGUGUAGAACUCCCAGCUUCACUGCAACCCCAGUGAAAUGAAAUCUGUGUCUCUCUUGCAACUCGGAGAUCCACCUAUGAGCUGGCAGAUAAUUACAGGUCAUGAUCUAAAGUUUCGUGUUUCAUUUUCGCCUGAUGCCCGCAGAAUUAGGACAUUAGUUUCUCAUAAAUCAGUGCCCUUCAAUCAAUUACGCUUAGUCACCAAGAACCCGUGAGCUGAGCCAUCAUCAGAUGGGCUGGCUCCUACCCGCUCGAGGCUUUUGUCUUCCACUUAGAGCAGGUGAUUUAUUUAUUGAAACAUCGCUGAAACGGGAACGUCUUUCUCCCUUUCUUUCAGCUGUCCUUGGAGCCGAUCCAGCCUUCCUCCGCUCCCAGUUCAGGAAUCGGUGAUCAUGGAACAGAAUUAGUUUUUGUCUCGUUCGGUGUUUCGGGGCUCCAGUCUUUAAAUCCCGGGGCCCGGCUGAAUAAAAUAACACCAAGAUGUUGUUGUUGUUGUUUUAUCCCCAAGGUGGAAGGAGAACUGACGUUUCUCGAACCCCCUGCUUCACACCCGCACACUGGGUGCUAAGUGACGGCAUCCGAUCUUCCCUGCCGCGCUGUCUGGGGAGAAUCCUUAUUCUUGUUUCAUUGUCCCGGGCCCCCAGGAGGUGGAGAACCUCAUCGUUGAGAAAGUGCGUCCAGGACCGCUUUGCCCUCCCAGCCCUCCUUGCCCUGACAGCAAAUCAAGAAAUUCACCCGUGCGGCGCUUGAACAGAAUGGCCUUCUAGAAGCUUGGCUCUUCCAGCUGUGGACGAUCGGCCCCGCGAACAGUCGCCAGUUCCUUCCUCUCAAGGCCCAUGCCGAAGUCUUUCUUCCUCCACCCACGGCUGCAGCUGGAUUUGGAUUAAUUAGAAUUAAGGGCUGUCUAGAGCCAACAGCCUUGUGUAGGGGAAGGGGAGAGAGCUGGAGCCAGAAGACAAGCCAGAGCCUCUGACUGUGACAAGAUGUUUUUGUGCCUGGGAUACGCCGGAAGAUAAAGACUGGGAGCCUCUGGCAUAGUCUGUCCUUGCUGGAUGGAUUCGCGAAUGCUCCGGGAGAAGUUGUCGUCGCUGCCUUGCUUCUUCUUCCAGACCAGAGAGGCUGUUCUGGAACAGGCGGUGGAACAUGCAAGAGGCUAUUGAAAACGUCAAUGACUGGGAAACAGCAACCAACACCCACGAGCAGAUUUUGUGAGGCGUAAAAUCACAUCGCUGCUUCUGAACGCGGCCUGGCCAGGGACUCACUUGGCUUCCCUUGGAAAACUGGAUAGAAAAACUGCACCGAACGAGGCUAGAGCUUUGUAUUAACCAUAACGUCAGAGAACGCAUUGCCAUUUGCCUUGACAACUUGAGUUUUUAUUUAUUUAUUUUUUUUAAUAUAUGAAAUUUAUUGUCAAAUUGGUUUCCAUACAAC